CCAACGCCUGGCAAAAAACAUCAUUGCAUUAAUAUUGUGAUAGGGGGAGGGGGUAAAGAUUACAUAAUUCAGAGCUAGGGGAGGACACGAAUAAGAAAGCUCACCACCUGAGAGUCAUCUACCAUAUGGUUGAAAUGGAAAUUACUUAAUAACCUAACCGAAAAUAAAAUGAAAGAACAGCUGGUAGUAUGAAAAAAUGGGGAAUAAAAAAGGACGGAGUAUAAAAGCAAACGUGAUAUAGCGAUAACAAAUCGCUGCAAAUUGGGAAGCGAAAGGAAUGGUAUAAAUCUGAAGAUCGUCGAGAAAAAAAGAAAAUCGGAUAGUGAUCACGGUGGAAUAGAUGCGUUUGUGACUGGCAGUGGUAGAUUUAGUGAAUAUUUUGUCCAUUCGCAUUCACAUAAUAAUAAUAUAUUAUAAUAAUAGUUAUAACAAUGUCAACAAAUUUGCAAAAUUUUAGAGAUUAAGUAGAUUUUGGCGUAUGAAAAAUAAAGAACAUUAUUAUUGUCUUAUACCAUAAUGAUAAAUAGAGAUUUCAGUAAGUACCAAACUUAAUUUAAAUGAGGUAGAAUUUAUUUUAUAAUAAUUAUUUAAUAAACUAAUUAUUGCAUGUCGUAAAUUAAAAAUAAUACAAUUUACCGGAUCAUCAAACAUGAUGCUUUACAGAAACUACAAUAAUAUUCGAUUUUUAAAAUUAAAAUAUCAAUGAAAAAAGUUAUUAAUUCUCGUUUUUGUAUUACAGUAAUUAUUUUAGUGUUAAUAUUAUUUUGAUUAUAAAUUAUUCUUAUCAAACGCAUUAAGCAAUAUAACAAUAUUGAACGUACUUAUAUGAUAUUAUAAUAUUAUAAAUAUUGUACGAAUGUACAAAUUGUGUUCCUAAAUAGAAAAUGUCUUUAAUGGGUAUAAAUAUAAGUCUGAUUUUAAAUUGUUUUCAACCUUUUAUAAAUCAUAAGAUACAUGGAACUAUUAUAAAUGAUUUAAGGAA
This is a long non-coding RNA of Rhopalosiphum padi (bird cherry-oat aphid), 982 nucleotides long. RefSeq lists it as uncharacterized. The transcript is spliced from 2 exons. Lineage: Eukaryota; Metazoa; Arthropoda; Insecta; Hemiptera; Aphididae. The record is from RefSeq and is a predicted model, not a curated record.